AGCAGGGAGCCCAACUCGGGGCUGGAUCCCAGGACUCCAGGAUCGUGACCUGAGCCAGAGAGAAAAAUGGCAGGGACUCACUUUGCAAGAAAUUACACUAUGUUCAAUGACUUCCCAUCAAGAGUAAGCAAUGUUCCGUAUCCUGCCUUUGAUGCCAACCAAAACAUCAGUUCUUUUUUUGGACUGGGACCACACCACUGGUUCUCCUGGUUCUCAGGCCUUUGCACUUGGACUAAAACUUAUAUCAUGUAGCCUCCUGGGUCUCCAGCUGGUGUGACUGUGAAUUUUGGGACUUAGGCUCCAUAAUCAGGAUGAAGGGGCUGAGAUUCGGGUUUUGCGGAGGAACAUCUGAGCUGCCAUUUCUGGAUGAAUGAGGAGUUAAGAAACCUCCAGAAACCUCUAGAAGGAUGAACAGCCAAGUGCUGGCAGCGGUCCCCGCGGGAGGUGGGGCUGAGCAGGGAGGAAGACCUUCCCAGUGAUCAGGGGAGGACAAGAACACAGAAAAAUGUAAGUCGAUUCUUCGGAUGAGAAAAGACAAAGAAGGCGGGCACCUUAGGAAUCCAACAUGCCUCUGCAUGCCCAGCGGGAACCACCGUCCUGAUUCUGUGUCGACGACUCAUUUCCUCACAGCUUUCUAGACACGAGAGUCCUGGAAUCACGUCCUGGUGGCUGGGCCUGCUUCUGCACUUUAAAUGUAUGCACCCUCGUUAUGACUUCUGCGAUAAGUCCCCCUCAAUGUUACGGUGUAGAGUCUCAUCCAAACCAGUGCACGGAGCGGAGUGGUGCUGCUGUUCCCGGCCACGCAGAACUCCGCUGUCUGGGCAGACCCCACGGUGUCUAUCCACCUGAGUGUGGGUGUCUGGGCUGCUCCUGGUUUGGUGCCAUUAGGAACAGUUCUGCUCUAGGUCUGCACAGGUCUGUAGGGCAGCCACAGAGGCCUGGGAUUCUGUGCAGCACGGGUGUGUGCGGUGUGUGCAUGGUGGUGUGAAGUGGGAUCUCUUUUUGCUUUUCAUUUGCAUUUCUCUCAUUAUUCAUGAGGCCGAGCAUCCUUUUGUAUGUGUGUGGGCCAUUUAUGCGCUUUUUUCUUUCUCCUUUGUAACAGGAGUUGGCAGUCCUUUUUUUUUUUUUUUUUAUAAAGGGCCAGAUAGUAUUUUUGGAUCUAUGGGCCAUGCAAUCUGCGUCACAAUUACUCAGGGCUGCCACUGAAGUCCCGAGGAAACCAUAAACAAUAUGUCAAUGAAUGGGUGUGGCUGUGUCCCAAUAAAGCUUUAUUUACAAAAAUAGGGAGUGGGCCAGAUUUGGCCUGUGGCUUGCAGUUGGCUCUGAUUUGUGGGAUUUCUUUAUAUAUUUUGAAGGGAUUUUACGUGUAGCAAAUAUUUUUUACCAGAUGUAGUGUCUUUUCUCCUAGUGUAGCAUGUUUUUGAUGAACAGAAUUUCCUAUUUUAAUUAUUGUUUUUAAAAAAGUGAGUAAGAUUUGCUGAAACUCAGUAUCUGCCUGGGUUUAUUUCCCAUCUUGUCUUAAAUACGAUCAGGGCUUUCUGGAAGUCCAGUGGGAAAGCAGGUAAGAAUUAGAUACGUAAUACGCAGACAGAUGACAUCACCUCAGGGUACAAGUAGAAAAUUAGAAGGUUCUCUAUGCAAACAAGGAGAAAAUACAGAGCAGACAGCACUGUUCUCCGAGGCAGCCUACAUGCCCCCCAUGUGAGUGGCACUGCCCACUGAGGAGGAGGACCCCAGAGACCCCCAGGAUGGAAUAUUUCCCCGCAGA
Molecule: long non-coding RNA, 1768 nt
Organism: Zalophus californianus (California sea lion)
Lineage: Eukaryota; Metazoa; Chordata; Mammalia; Carnivora; Otariidae
Exons: 5
Source: RefSeq, a predicted model, not a curated record